GAUGAACGCUGGCGGCGUGCCUAAUACAUGCAAGUCGAACGAACAGACGAGGAUCUUGCUCCUCUCACGUUAGCGGCAGACGGGUGAAUAACACGUGGAUAACCUACCUAUAAUACUGAGAUAACUUCGGAAAACCGGAUCUAAUACCGUAUAAUAUAUUGAACCGCAUUGUUCAAUAGUGAGAUACGGUUUUGCUGUCACUUAUAGAUGGAUCCGCGCCGCAUUAGAUAGUUGUUAAGUUAACGGCUUACCAAGGCAACGAUGCGUAGACGACCUGAGAGGGUGAUCGCCCACCUUGGAAGUGAGACACGGUCAAGACGCCUAAGGGAGGCAGCAGUAGGGAAUGUUCCGCAAUGGGCGAAAGCAUGACGGAGUAACGCCGCGUGAGUGAUGACGGUCUUCCGAUCGUAAAACUGUGUUAUUAGGGAAGAACAAAUGUGUCAGUAACUAUGCACGUCUUGACGGUAAUUAAUCAGAAAGCAACGGCUAACUACGUG
This 497-nucleotide ribosomal RNA is filed under the name uncultured bacterium. RNAcentral describes it as "partial 16S ribosomal RNA". It matches the Rfam family "Bacterial small subunit ribosomal RNA", at positions 28 to 507 of the family's 1533-position model. The record is from RNAcentral.